RNAcentral lists this ribosomal RNA (484 nucleotides) under uncultured bacterium. RNAcentral describes it as "partial 16S ribosomal RNA". It matches the Rfam family "Bacterial small subunit ribosomal RNA", at positions 30 to 507 of the family's 1533-position model. The record is from RNAcentral.
AUUGAACGCUGGCGGCAGGCCUAACACAUGCAAGUCGAGCGGACGAAGGGAGCUUGCUCCUGGAUUCAGCGGCGGACGGGUGAGUAAUGCCUAGGAAUCUGCCUGGUAGUGGGGGAUAACGUCCGGAAACGGGCGCUAAUACCGCAUACGUCCUGAGGGAGAAAGUGGGGGAUCUUCGGACCUCAAGCUAUCAGAUGAGACUAGGUCGGAUUAGCUAGUUGGUGGGGUAAAGGCCUACCAAGGCGACGAUCCGUAACUGGUCUGAGAGGAUGAUCAGUCACACUGGAACUGAGACACGGUCCAGACUCCUACGGGAGGCAGCAGUGGGGAAUAUUGGACAAUGGGCGAAAGCCUGAUCCAGCCAUGCCGCGUGUGUGAAGAAGGUCUUCGGAUUGUAAAGCACUUUAAGUUGGGAGGAAGGGCAGUAAGUUAAUACCUUGCUGUUUUGACGUUACCAACAGAAUAAGCACCGGCUAACUUCGUG